RNAcentral lists this ribosomal RNA (609 nucleotides) under uncultured bacterium. RNAcentral describes it as "bacterial SSU rRNA". It matches the Rfam family "Bacterial small subunit ribosomal RNA", at positions 9 to 602 of the family's 1533-position model. The record is from RNAcentral.
GAGUUUGAUCCUGGCUCAGAGCGAACGCUGGCGGCAUGCUUAACACAUGCAAGUCGAGCGAGAAAAUGGCUUCGGCCAUGAGUACAGCGGCGGACGGGUGAGUAAUACAUGGAUAAUCUGCCUUUAGGACUGGGACAACCCAGGGAAACUUGGGCUAAUACCGGAUAAGACCACAGAAUCUCCGGAUUCAGUGGUAAAAGGUGGCUUCGGCUAUCACCUAUAGAUGAGUCCAUGUCCCAUCAGGUUGUUGGUGAGGUAACGGCUCACCAAGCCUAAGACGGGUAGCCGACCUUAGCGGGUGAUCGGCCACACGGGGACUGAGACACGGCCCCGACUCCUACGGGAGGCAGCAGUGGGGAAUAUUGGACAAUGGGCGCAAGCCUGAUCCAGCAAUGCCGCGUGAGGGAUGAAGGCCUUCGGGUCGUAAACCUCUGUCAGUUGGAACGAUGGGUUUGUAGGUUAAUACCCUGCAAACUUGACGGUACCUUCAAAGGAAGCCCCGGCUAACUCCGUGCCAGCAGCCGCGGUAAUACGGAGGGGGCAAGCGUUGCUCGGAAUUACUGGGCGUAAAGGGUCCGCAGGUGGCUUUGUAAGUUAGAUGUGAAAAUC